This 433-nucleotide ribosomal RNA is filed under the name uncultured bacterium. Its description in RNAcentral is "partial 16S ribosomal RNA". It matches the Rfam family "Bacterial small subunit ribosomal RNA", at positions 29 to 507 of the family's 1533-position model. The record is from RNAcentral.
AACGAACGCUGGCGGCAUGCCUAACACAUGCAAGUCGAACGAGACCCUCGGGUCUAGUGGCGCACGGGUGCGUAACGCGUGGGAACCUGCCCUUAGGUUCGGAAUAACUCCCCGAAAGGGGUGCUAAUACCGGAUAAUGUCUUCGGACCAAAGAUUUAUCGCCUUUGGAUGGGCCCGCGUUGGAUUAGCUAGUUGGUAGGGUAAAAGCCUACCAAGGCGACGAUCCAUAGCUGGUCUGUGAGGAUGAUCAGCCACACUGGGACUGAGACACGGCCCAGACUCCUACGGGAGGCAGGAGUGGGGAAUAUUGGACAAUGGGCGAAAGGCUGAUCCAGCAAUGCCGGGUGAGUGAUGAAGGCCUUAGGGUUGUAAAGCUCUUUUACCCGGGAUGAUAAUGACAGUACCGGGAGAAUAAGCCCCGGCUAACUCCGUG